Molecule: long non-coding RNA, 1023 nt
Organism: Callithrix jacchus (white-tufted-ear marmoset)
Lineage: Eukaryota; Metazoa; Chordata; Mammalia; Primates; Cebidae
Source: RefSeq, a predicted model, not a curated record
CCCUCCAGAAACGUAACACACUGACGUUGAGGUGAUGGUGGAGUAAAAGUACAAGCAGAAGAUUUUGUUCCAACUUCCCCAUAGAUGCAGUUCACAUGAUUAUUUUAUGAUUCAGAAAUAAACAUUCCUACAGACACAUCAUGAGAGAUCGGUGGUGACCGGGAAGGGAAAGGAGGACUUGGACAUGGGAAUGAGACGUCCAUUAAACUCUUGCCAUAUGUGAAGCACCAUAGAGAGAAAAUACUGGCCACAUCUCCAUCUUAGACGAGGAGCUCCAUGGAGGGGCGCCAUGGCUCACACCUGUAAUCCCAGCACUUUGGGAGGCCGAGACAGGUAGAUCACGAGGUCAAGAGAUCGAGACCAUCCUGACCAACAGAUGAAACCCGUCUCUACUAAAUCCCAGCACUUUGGGAGGCCCAGGUGGGUGGAUCAUGAGGUAAAGAGAUCAAGACAAUCCUGACCAACAGGUGAAACUCGUCUCUACUAAAAAUACAAAAAUUAGCUGGAUAUGGUGGCGCAUGCCUGUAGUCCCAGUUACUCAGGAAGCUGAGGCAGGAGAAUUGCUUGAACCUGGGAGGCAGAGGUUGCAGUGAGCCAAGAUUGCGCCACUGCACUCCAGCCUGGCAACAGAGUGUUACUCUGUCUCGAAAAACAAACAAACAAAAAAACACUAACGUGUAUUGAAUGUUAUGUGCUGGCAUUGAACCAAAUGCUUUACAUAUAUCUUUGCUUUUAAGACACAUAACAACCUUAUGAGGUGGGCACUGGUAUUACUCCUACUUUAUAGAUAAGGAUACUGAAAGUUAAGAAAAUAAGUAAUGCAAACUCAUACAGCUCUGAAGUAUCAGAAUUCCUGAAUUCCAAAUUCGGAAUCACUGCCUUGCCGUGGACUGCCAUCAGGGCCAGUUCUCUGAGGCAACCUGAAUACAGCACAUGCCAUUAAACAACCUAGCUUCGUAGCUCCAUUAUGUCACUAGGCUUUUCCCCCAGUCCCUCCCCCUGUUAUCCAAGACAACAGAUAAG